This 805-nucleotide ribosomal RNA is filed under the name gamma proteobacterium SCGC AAA015-O20. RNAcentral's name for it is "SSU rRNA". It matches the Rfam family "Bacterial small subunit ribosomal RNA", at positions 57 to 860 of the family's 1533-position model. The record is from RNAcentral. Lineage: Bacteria; Pseudomonadati; Pseudomonadota; Gammaproteobacteria.
GCAGUCGAGCGAGAAAGUUUCUUCGGAAGCGAGUAAAGCGGCGGACGGGUGAGUAACGCGUAGGAAUCUACCAUUCAGUGGGGGAUAGCUCGGGGAAACCCGAAUUAAUACCGCAUAUACCCUAAGGGGGAAAGAGGGCCUAUCCUUGGAAGCUCUUGCUGUUUGAUGAGCCUGCGUGAGAUUAGUUUGUUGGUGAGGUAAUGGCUCACCAAGACUACGAUCUCUAGCUGGUCUGAGAGGACGAUCAGCCACACUGGGACUGAGACACGGCCCAGACUCCUACGGGAGGCAGCAGUGGGGAAUAUUGGACAAUGGGGGCAACCCUGAUCCAGGCAUGCCGCGUGUGUGAAGAAGGCCUUCGGGUUGUAAAGCACUUUAGGUAAGGAAGAAAAGUUAUUGGCUAAUACCUAAUGACCGUGACAUUACUUACAGAAUAAGGACCGGCUAACUCCGUGCCAGCAGCCGCGGUAAUACGGAGGGUCCAAGCGUUAAUCGGAAUUACUGGGCGUAAAGCGCGCGUAGGCGGUUUGACAAGUUGGGUGUGAAAUCCCCGGGCUUAACCUGGGAACUGCAUUCAAAACUUUUAAACUGGAGUACGGGAGAGGAGAGUAGAAUUCAUGGUGUAGCGGUGAAAUGCGUAGAUAUCAUGAGGAAUACCAAUGGCGAAGGCAACUCUCUGGACCGUAACUGACGCUGAGGUGCGAAAGCGUGGGUAGCAAACAGGAUUAGAUACCCUGGUAGUCCACGCCGUAAACGAUGACAACUAGCCGUUGGACUUUCGGGUUCAGUGGCACAGCUAACGCAU